AGUGAACGCUGGCGGUAGGCCUAACACAUGCAAGUCGAACGGCAGCACAGUAAGAGCUUGCACUUACGGGUGGCGAGUGGCGGACGGGUGAGGAAUGCAUCGGAAUCUACUUUUUCGUGGGGGAUAACGUAGGGAAACUUACGCUAAUACCGCAUACGACCUACGGGUGAAAGCAGGGGAUCUUCGGACCUUGCGCGAUUGAAUGAGCCGAUGUCGGAUUAGCUAGUUGGCGGGGUAAAGGCCCACCAAGGCGACGAUCCGUAGCUGGUCUGAGAGGAUGAUCAGCCACACUGGAACUGAGACACGUUCCAGACUCCUACGGGAGGCAGCAGUGGGGAAUAUUGGACAAUGGGCGCAAGCCUGAUCCAGCCAUACCGCGUGGGUGAAGAAGGCCUUCGGGUUGUAAAGCCCUUUUGUUGGGAAAGAAAAGCAGCAGGUUAAUACCCCGCUGUUCUGACGGUACCCAAAGAAUAAUCACCGGCUAACUUCGUG
Molecule: ribosomal RNA, 492 nt
Filed under: uncultured bacterium
Lineage: Bacteria
Description: partial 16S ribosomal RNA
Rfam family: Bacterial small subunit ribosomal RNA
Source: RNAcentral